CGCUGUCCCCUCACCCCUGCGACAACUCUCCCCACCUGUGCAUGCUCCGCUGUAGCGCUGUUCCGCCCUUUGUUUUACUUUAGAGAAAGGAAAAUAAGGCACGGUCUGGGGAAAAGGACACCCCCUAUCUUGUCCCCAUACCACAGCUAACCUAACCAAACCAUACCUCCUCCCCGCUACGUUCUGUCAGUCCACUCACGCUAUAGCGGAGGGCAGUGCCAGGAAACUCGCUCACCCCCCUAGCGGACAGCUACCACAUCGCCAGCACCGCCCCGCUCUCGGUGUAGCUUGAGCGGCUGCGUAGUCCCACCUCCUGUCCUGCUCCGAGUGGCUGGCGGCGCUUAGGCGUGUUUCUCAUUGGGCCUGGUGGUGGCCGGGCUGUGUUUGGUAGGUUCCGCUGUGCCCAGAUGUUGGGCUAGUGGUGGAGGCUAGUUGCUGUGGGGAUAGGUUUGUCGUGAAAGAGCUGGACGGAGUGCGGGAGGCGAGUUACCAAGUGCAGCCUGUGCUUUGUCAGGACCUCGUUUAGAGUCUCCAUGUUGUCCCAUCUGCCUGAUCUGAGAAAAAGUUGGGGAUACUCUGUUUGGGCUGUGUGUUUCUAAUAAGCUUUUGUUUGUGACUCUGAAAAAAGCAGGUCUGUAUCCUUCAAGAAAGAGGUACAGACUAAAUGGAUUUAAAGACAGCAGUGUUCAAUGCAGCUUGUGAUGGCAAGCUGCGGCUCCUUUCCAAGUUACUUGCAAGCAAAACUAGAGAAGAGGUGGCCUUACUAAUCUCAGAAAAAACCAAUGGUGCCACACCACUUUUGAUGGCAGCCCGUUAUGGGCACGUUGACAUGGUGGAAUACUUGUUGGACUGUUGCUCUGCUUCUAUAGAAAUUGGUGGUUCAGUUAAUUUUGAUGGUGAGACCAUUGAGGGAGCUCCACCAUUAUGGGCAGCAUCAGCUGCUGGCCACUUGAAGGUGGUUCAGUGUCUGUUAGAUCAUGGUGCAUCUGUCAAUAACACAACUCUAACAAGUUCAACUCCGCUUAGAGCUGCCUGUUUUGAUGGUCACCUGGAAAUAGUAAAAUAUCUUGUGGAGCACAAAGCAGACUUGGAAGUAUCAAACCGUCAUGGGCAUACGUGCUUGAUGAUCUCAUGUUACAAAGGCCACAAAGAAAUUGCUCAGUAUUUACUUGAAAAAGGAGCUGAUGUUAACAGAAAAAGUGUUAAAGGUAAGUUCAUUGUUUCAGUGUUCCUUGUGGUAAAUAGGGGUGAAAUUACUCAUGUGUUCUUUAGGAGACUGACACCCAAAAAUAUUCUUCUAGUCUCAUAAUGUGAAUGUUUUUUCCAGUAAGAGAUUAAGUGUGUCUAGCUAUCUUUUUACAAGUUUUUUCAUCAUACUUAUUUAAUAAUGGCUAUAAAACGUAGUUCUAAAUUGAUACAUUUUCACAGAAUGGUCAGGGUUGGAAGGGACCUCUGGGGGUCGUCUAGUCCAACUUGCUGCUAAAGCAGGUUAACCUAGAACAGGUUGCACAGGACUGCAUCCAGGUGGGUUUUGAAUGUCUCCAGAGAAUAAGACUCCACAACCUCUCUGGGCAGCCUGUUCCAGUGCUCUGUCACCCUCAAAGUAAAGAAGUUCUUCCUCAUAUUCAGAUGGAACUUUUGGUGUUGUAGCUUGUGCCUUUUGCUCCUUGUCCUGUUGCUGGGCGCUACUGAAAAGAGCCUGGCCCCAUCCUCUUGACGUUCACCCUUAAGAUAUUUGUAGACGUUGAUAAGAUCCCCUCUCGGUCUUCCCUUCCCCAGGCUAAACAGGCCCAUCUCAGCCUUUCCUCAUAAGGGAGAGGUGCCAGUCCCCUAAUAAUCUUUGCAGCCCUCCACUGGACCCUUUCCAGUAGUUCCCUGUCUCUCUUGAAGUGGGGAGCUCAGAACUGGACACAGCACUUCAGGUGUGGUCCCACAAGAGCAGAGUAGAGGGGGAGGAUAACCUCCCUCGACCUGCUGGCCAUGUUCCUCCUAAAGCACCCCAGGAUCCCACUGGCUGCCUUGGCCUCAAGGGCACACUGCUGGCUUGUGGUCAACUUGCUGCCCACCAGAAUUCCCAGGUCCUUCUCCGCAGAGCUGCCCCCCAGCAGGUCAACCCCUAGCCUGUACUGGUGCAUGGGGUUGUUCCUCGGUGCAGGACCUUAUGCUUGCCUUUGUUGAACUUCAUUAGGUUCCUCUCCACCCAAUUCUCCAGCUUGUCCAGGUAUCACUGAAUGGUGGCACAGCCUUCUGGUGAAUCAGCCACUCCUCCCAGUUUUGUAUCAUCUGCAAACUUGCUGAGGUUACUCUCUGUCCCUUCUUUGAUGAAUAAGUUGAACAGGACUGGACCUAGUACUGACCCCUGGGGAACAGCACUAGCUACAGGCCUCCAGCUAGACUCUGCGCUGUUGAUCACAACCCUCUGAGCUCUGCCAUUUAGCCAGUUCUCAGUCCACCUCACUGUCCACUCAUCUAAUCCACACUCCCUGAGCUUACCUGUGAGGAUGUUAUGGUAGACAGCGUCAAAAGCUUUGCUGAGGUCAAGGUUGACAACAUCCACUGUUCUCCCCUCAUCUACCCAGCCAGUCAUUCCAUCAUAGAAGGCUAUUAGGUUGGUCAGGCAUGAUUUCCCCUUGGUGAAUCCACGUUGACUACUCCUGAUAACUAUUUCUUCCACAUGCUUCGAGAUGACCUCCAGGAUGAGCUGUUCCAUCACCUUUCCAGGGAUGAAGGUGAGGUUGACCAGCCUGUAGUUUCCUGGGUCCUGCUUCUUGCCCUGUUUGAAGACUGGAGUGACAUUGGAUUUCCUCCAGUCUUCAGGCACCUCUCCUGUCCUCCAUGACCUUUCAAAGAUGAUGGAGAGCGGCUUGGCAAUAACAUCUGCCAACUCCCUCAGCACUUGGGGGUGCACCCCAUUGGGACUCAUCGAUCUGUGGGUGACAAGAUUGCCUAAAUGAUCUCUAACGUGAUCCUCCUCGACCAAGGGAAAGUCUUCCUUUCUCCAGACUUCCUCUCUUGCCUCCAGGGUCUGGGAAACCGGAGUGCUGGCCUUGGCAGUGAAGACUGAAGCAAAAGCGGCAUUCAGUAACUACCUUCUCUGUGUCCUUUGUCACUAUGUUAGCCAGGGAACGAAAACCCCAUCUACAUGAAGUAGAUAAGCAGGCAUUUCUUUAUUGCAGCACUGGGUGCUUCGUGGCAUCUCCACAAAUCAAGCACAACUAUAUUGAUCUCACUGUUAUAUUUAUACACAAAAAUGAUAAGGUAGUAUACUCCCAGUUACAAUGAUUGGCUAUUAAUUUGCAUAUAAUUAUAAUAUCUGCUGUGUCAUCCUCUUCAGUUACUACGCUUGCGCAGAGGAAGGGUCUUCACCUGGGUGAGGGUCUUCUUGACCUGUGAGUGCGUUCUUUAGUAUUAUAAUGCAGGUAGUUCACUUCAGGACACCUUAAAAAUAAGUUUUGUUGCCAAGUUGGACGACUAGAUAUCUACCUUGCCAAGCUGUCCAAUAAUUCAUCCCAUACACAAUAGAACCUAGAUGCUCUGGUUAUGGUCUUGAGAUUAAAGACCAAGGUUAACAUGGUCCAGAGAGCAGGGACUCCUAAAUAUCACAGCUUAAGUGACAAGUAACACAGCAACUCAUACAUCGUUAGUUAAUAAGUACUAACAUAAUACUAACAUUUGCUAACAUAGGUUAUAACUGCAAUUUACCAUUAAACAGAGCAGAAGGAACUGUGCAGUGACCUUGCCAGAUGUUCUUUGCACUCCUUUUGAAAUUUCCCCAUCCAUGACUUAGCAUGAUUUUGUGCUGCUAGGAAGUUUUCCUCUUCAUGCAUACCCUUUUGGAAGGAAAACCAGACCAGCAGUAUUUAUCUUACGAGCUGUGUGAAUAAUUUUUUACAGACACAUGGCCUUAUACAAUAUAGUUAUUGACAGAAAGAAAAUAUCCACCAUUGUUUACACUGGGAUAGACUUCGCCAUUAGCAUUUUAUUCAGCACAAAUCACACGGAAGGAAGAAUUUACACCCUCUCCCCUAAAGUGUGAUUAAGUCAUGGAGAAAAGUGCAUGUCACAGGGACAGGAGGGAGAAUUUAUUGCAUUGAAGUUGGAAACAUUUAAAUAAACAUAAUUAAUAGCUCUGUAUACAGCGUCAUAUAUAUUCUUCUAAAUGUGCUGUUUUGUAUGAGUUGCCAUAGAAUUGUUAUUUGAUAAACCUUGGUAGCACAGUUCUGGUCUUAGUGCAGAGCAAAGCAGUGCCUCCACACGAAGAGGGUCCCCCGUGGAGAGUCGGCCAAGUCACGACAAUCACACCAAUAUGGCUACAUGCCGUGCUCACUUUAUUAAACAAACAGGUCAUAUUUAUAACUUAAACCGACCGCUCACAUGACUCUACACACAGGUGAUUGGAUAAAAGUUUCUGGUCACGUGGGGUCUGUGUUGCUGAUUGGUGAGCAUGCUGCAGGCGCCUGAUCAGAGUUUUCCGAUGAGAGUGUGUUGAUUUUGCGGUUCCCAGGACUUGCUCUGCACCUGGCUUCUUGUUUGCGCAUAGCUUGUUUUCUUUCUCACACUGCUUGUUCCAAAGACAAUUUAAAGUUGCUCUGCAGCUUCAACUAACAGGCCUGGGUUGUCCAACCCGGACAAUGCUAACAUAUGUCCUUGGUUCUUUAAAAAUUCCUCUACACCCACAUGUAAAAUACACAUGCCACACUGGCUGGUACUAAUGUGGAGGUAAGGAGGCCCAAAGCUGCUUUUGGCCCACAGUAAAUACAUGGGUACAAUGACUCAUCUGACAUUUAUCAGGUUCACUAUUGCAAGCGUAGAUCUAUAGCUGAAAAAUAAACAAAAAGUUGAGAUCAAAAGUUGUGCCCCCAGUACCAACAAACAGGUUACACAACUUGCAGCA
This is an RNA transcript of Falco peregrinus (peregrine falcon), 4894 nucleotides long. It is a transcript of the gene named protein fem-1 homolog C-like, with no coding region annotated. The record is from RefSeq and is a predicted model, not a curated record. The transcript has 3 exons. NCBI's taxonomy places the organism in Eukaryota, Metazoa, Chordata, Aves, Falconiformes, Falconidae.